RNAcentral lists this ribosomal RNA (387 nucleotides) under uncultured bacterium. Its description in RNAcentral is "bacterial SSU rRNA". It matches the Rfam family "Bacterial small subunit ribosomal RNA", at positions 30 to 417 of the family's 1533-position model. The record is from RNAcentral.
AUUGAACGCUGGCGGCAUGCUUUACACAUGCAAGUCGAACGGCAGCGCGGGGGCAACCCUGGCGGCGAGUGGCGAACGGGUGAGUAAUGCAUCGGAACGUAUCCUGUAAUGGGGGAUAACGUAGCGAAAGUUACGCUAAUACCGCAUACGCUCGAGAGAGGAAAGUGGGGGAUCGCAAGACCUCACGUUAUAGGAGCGGCCGAUGUCCGAUUAGCUAGUUGGUGGGGUAAAGGCUCACCAAGCCGACGAUCUGUAGCUGGUCUGAGAGGACGACCAGCCACACUGGGACUGAGACACGGCCCAGACUCCUACGGGAGGCAGCAGUGGGGAAUUUUGGACAAUGGGCGCAAGCCUGAUCCAGCCAUUCCGCGUGCAGGAUGAAGGCCU